Molecule: long non-coding RNA, 6629 nt
Filed under: Gallus gallus (chicken)
Lineage: Eukaryota; Metazoa; Chordata; Aves; Galliformes; Phasianidae
Description: lncRNA (ENSGALG00010012344.1)
Source: RNAcentral
GGCAAGGGAAGUACAGACGUUUUGCAGGUAGAUAACGGCACGGACUCCAUUCAGGUGCCCGUGCUGACCAGACCCCGCGGCAGACAGCACAUGCUUGUUAGACAGAAGAAAAGGGCAUUGCUUUCUUACCUCACUGACAGCGCAUCUCUGUAUGGCGAAGACGACAGCGAAGGUGGUCACUGUCCUGCAGGGGUCAACGAUAAAUUCACAGCUUGUAUUGCUCGCCCGUCUGGCUCGGCCUGCGGCGUGACUGUCGAUCCCAAAGUUGAGGAGGUGGGAACCGAAAUAAAACAAAGCAAAAACACAGGUAAGACUCAAAUGACAGCAUCCUUAAGACACCCUAAUGAAGCCUGAGCGACUGCUUCGCUAUUACUCAAGCACAAAUAAACUAUAGAUUCAGUCUUGCAGACCGCACGCAUACAGCAGAGAACGUAGCCCACUUAUUCCAACAGAGCGCUCCUUCCCUAAAUGUGACCUUAUCGAGGUGAAGAACCACACGCGAGUCGAGCUGACUUCAGGGCCAGCAGAACGUGUGUCAUCUGAGGAGGGGCACCACUCACAGAAUACUGCUGCAACCGCUGCCAGUGGGUGAAUGCAGUCAGCCAGGGGAACGUGGCGUUACCUUGUCCUUAACCGCAGCACAUCAGAGCCAGUGCACAGCGCUGCAAACGCUCCAACAAUGCAAACAACGGCCAAUGCUACCAGCAUCAUUCUUCUUUUUUCUAUUUCUGAAUUCUUCUUCAGCAGAAGUACUGAGAGCAAUGGCACUGACAUUCUGCUGACAUCACAUAUCCAACUAAAUACGUUUUUUCUUUUUUUUUUCCCCACUUGGAAUCUCACCAAAUAUUUUUAUCACUCUUGGGACAAUAAAAGGACUUAGUGGGACCGUUUCUCCCUCACUGAGAAGCACUUUUGUUGUUUCAGUUUAUGAGCACGCUGACUCGUCCCUAUUUACGGAAGGAUUUACACACAUACUUAACUCCAGAUAGGUUCUUUAAUCAAUCCUCAUUCAGCAAAACCCUCGCUGGGACGUGUGCUGAAGCAACUUUGCAGACUGGGACCAAUACACGCACACAGAUUUGCAUGUGUUUCAGAGCCAUCUCAGACUACAGCUUUUAGGGGAAAAACAGAAAGCAUCCAGCAUUACCCUCUCAGUGUUCGCAGGGGGAUCAAAAAGGAAUUGCACUCACAGAUCCAGUUUCUGCCUUUCUACAGAGGUCGGGAGACUGCGAAGUUUCUUACAUGUAAAAGCAUCCAUCAUCUAUCAGCUAAGCCAGAACCAUGUGAAAAACUUCAGCUCAUAGAAAAAUGCAAACCGCCGAACGAGAUGCGCGUAUGACAUCAGAUCCCAAAACGCUGUGCCUCUGCCUGAGUAAAACCGAAUGAGAUCAGGAUUUUCAGCUCGCAAGCUCAGGCUGAGCAAAGCAUACAACUUCCUAUGGAGUACUCACUGGAAUACAGCACGUCGUUUCAGCAAGCUGCAGCGUUUACCUGUGCCAAGCCAGUCAGACUGCUGCCUCUUCAGCUAAUUGUGUCGGUAUUUGUUAAAGCAGAGUCGGUACGGGUACCUCCAAGGAGACCUACAGCUCCAUCUGCCACCCGAGCUGCGCAGGGCGCCCAGACCGUACCUGUGCAGCGGCCACCCCAACCCGGUGCGCCCCCAGGCAGCCCUACAGCUGCCACACAGCCCUGCACCCAGCCAGCGCUGCAGCCCCUCCGCAAUUCUGACACGCGUUUCCUUUAAGCCCUGCCGCAGUUCUUCAUCGCGUUUCCCCUCAAUUAGCACACCACAACAAAAGCCAGCGCUGCACGAGCAAUGACAGCCCUCGCUGCCGCGUCCCCAGACGUGCUGCUGAACUUCAGCACGGGGGGGAACCGGGCCUUCGUUUUGCUCUGCCAGCCACGGCACCGAGACCACUGCUUUCACAUCCUAAUGUUGAAAUCGGCAGUUGCUUUCCAGAGCGCUCUGGGGACAGCAGCAGGCCCGGAUGUCUGGACGAACGUGCCACUCAGCAACGAGAUGGUGCAUCUACAGCCAUGUGGCAGACAGCAAAAAUAUCCUCACCCAGCUAAUGCAAGGUUCAUUGAUUUAAUGAAAGGAACCAUGGGAGAGAGGCAGAGGCUGGAGACAGCUGGAAAUCAAGUGGAGGCCCCGCAGAAGUUGCCACCCCAUCCUCUGCAUUCUGUUCUGCAGACGCGGCAUUCUCCCGCCUGCCACCUUUUUUUAUUCCAGUUGUACUCCUGUUACCUCAGGAGAAAGGAAUCUUUCCUUCUCAAACCUCCACCUUGCCAAGAGGUGUGGCACACGCCAUGGAAGAGAAGCCACAUUCAUGCUGAAGCAAGCUUUGGGCAACUUUCCCUUCUGCGGCAGGCUCGUGUAAGAGGCUCGUGUGUUCCUCCAUCCUGUGGCUAUGGUGUUUGCCGCAGGACCCACACUUUUUGCCAUGAACCAGCCUCUGGCCUUUUAUAUCUUUGUCCAUGUUUCUGCUUCAGAGUUGGAAGAGCGUAAGUCAGUUGUAAACCAAAGCGGUAUUUUUUUCCCAGCAGGCAGCCUCUGCCCACGUCCCGGGGAAGUGCCGUAACUGCAGCCAGCCGCAUCAGGUUCACAAACUCACCUCCGUUUUGACGUGGUUACAUAACAGAGAUAAGGGGACAGUGCCUUUGCUGACAUUGCCUGGCACGCAGGAUGCUCUUCUACGUCACAAGAUGCCAUUAUGCCUCUGCAGUUCCUCUUUUGAGGGCCUAUGGCAGGGCUCAAAGCGUUCCCCCAGAAGCGAGCAGCACGCGGCAUGGUGGGGGCACCGAGGGUGGGAAGCAGCACCUGAGCGAGAUCUCAUGUGCUGCCACGGCCUGGACAAAGGUCCCUCAUUGUCUGUCAAGGCAGCGCAGUCUAUUGACCCAGACGUGCAGAACUAUGCCAGAGGUGAAAGUCGUUUGCUACAGAAAAUAGACACAAUUGCAGACCAGGACAGUUCUGACAAUAAGAAUGGAGAGAGGCACUGUGGCAGUGCAGAACGUACAGAUUGGGGCUCCAGCACGACGGUGUGAGUUGGACACAGGAACCCACUCGAGCAGUGCCUCCUGCCAGUAACGUGCUGAAACUGGUCAGACUCCCAGCUGAAUGCGUUCUUGACCAAAAGACAGUCAUCAGUUUGACAUGCAGGAGGCACGUCAUCUAGGAGAGACUGUCUUUCAGUGCACUGAUGUCGUGCCAUCAACAUGCACGCUUUAUGUAAUUAGUAUCUGUAAGAAAUGGGAAAGUAAGAGGUAAUACAAGUUGGAUUUUUUUUUUUUAACAUCCACGUUCAGGGAAAUCCAGUGACUGACGAUGCACUGCAUGUGAACAGUAAUCUUACAAUUAUCGAUCAUUACAGUCUAAGACUUCAAUUUGUCAUAAAAUGACAUUGUUGGUCUCAUUACAGCCUCUAGUGGACAGUAGUAAUCCACUUCACAGACCUGUCAUACAAGCUGCUCAGAUGACAAGUGUUAUCAAGGUGGGGGUUACGCUGAAAGAACACGAGGACACGGUCGUGCUUGUCCCGUGGCAGGAAGGAUUUUCCAAUAUAGUCGAGAGUUUGCUGGCAUUGAUCUGAAGGUGCCUUGCUUUAUGCUUCAGGUAUCAGUGCUGGCUCGUAAAUAAACAGAGAACUUUGCUCUCAAUUUCCAUCUCAGACAGCUUUCAUAAAAAAAAAAAAAAAAAAACUAAAUUAAUCUCAAAUGUUUUUAUAACAGAAAAUAUUGGUUGUCAUGUUUUUGGCUUAAGUAUGAUGUUUUUAUUCCAACUCGGGAUCUGCAGACUGUCCAAUCCACCUCCUCUCUAUUUAUAGCCUGCUUGCAUUCAGAUAAUUCUUGCAAAUGCAGUUAUUUUCAUUAUUAUUUCAGACAUAGGCAGCUGAUUUAAGGUAUUUUAGCAGCUUUAACGAGUGAGAAACUGUAAUUUGGAUUACAGCUGGCUAAUUAAGGUACGCUUUCCUCUGGGAAGUUAAACAUGUACACGACCCGAACAAUAACAUAUUUAGAAUGUAUUCUCUAACUUGAAGUGCCACUUGUGUGAACACAAUAACGUAUGACUAACAUCUUUAUUUUUCGUGUAUUUGCCUAGAAAUGAGUGCAUCCCUGUCAGAACAGGGAGGUUGACGAUGGUCUCCAAAACUCAGCUGGGAUUGUUUUCAGAUGGAAGGAAAUGAGAGUGGCACACACGGAGAAUCAAUGCUGUCUCUUUAAAGCCACAAUUAUCUCAUACAAAUUAACAUCUAGUGAAGCGAGAGCCAAGUAUUCACAAAGACUAAGCAAGUAUGUAGUACUACACUUUGACUCAAAGAGAAAACUCUAUGGUUCAAAAUGCUGAGGUCAGAAAACUGUAUGGUCUAAAAUGCUGAGGUCCUUUGCAAGUGAAUUCAAAGGAAAGGCUGCCAUUGAUUUUUUUACUGCACCUACGUAUGGGGCCGCAGGGUCACUGAACAAAACAUUUUUGUCAUUUCUUAUCAGACAGAUAAUGGGAUAUCAAGGUAAAAAUGUGUACCUCAUCAAUGUCUUGUUUUUUAAAAAGAAGCAGUCAAAUUCCCCUUUAAAAUAACAAUAGCUUCAAUGGCUUUAACAUGAAAAUAGCUCCUUCGAUGCAGAUGUGACACAAGAUGCUUUUUUUGUUUGCUUGGUUUUGUUUCUUUUUUAAACAGAGAAAGCAAUUCAUCAAGGGAAUAAAAACGGAUGACUCCUCUGAAGUCUCGAAAUGAAGACAGAUUUCAUAUUUUGAAUAUGUUGUCAGUUAGUUGUAUGUCAUUGAUGCAGAAGGAAAAGCAGCUAAGUUACCAGUGGUGGCCCUGGGAUGGACCGCAGCCAAGCCUAGCCCUGAAUGCUGUUCCAGCAGUGACCAGGGAAAAAUAAAAAUGCUAAGCGCUUCUCUCAAGGUGCUCAAUUGGUCUAGGCACGCUCGAGUAAUAACCACAACAGGUUGUUAGGUGCCUUGCGGCCUACGGUGUCAAGAUGUCAGAGGUCUCUGUCCACAUGCUGGUCUCCAUAAAACUCUUCUGACACUGCCCUUAACCCUGCAGGUGGUGUGAGCAGAAGGGCCAGGCAGGAGCAGAACCUCAGCUGCUGUCUCCUUCCUAGAAGCAAUCACUUCAUAUUGGGGUCAAAGUCCACCAGCAGGGAACAGAAGGAAGGCUCCAUCGCAUGGAAAAUUCUUGGCUUCCAGGACCGUCAAGGCAGUGUUGUUAAUGAGGAUUAACAUUCAACCAAAAGGAAGACAAAGAAGUAAUGAGAAUUCACUGUCCACUUUCUGGGAGAGGGCUCUCUGUUUCUGGCAGAGCAGCCAGAGUCCACUCGAGUUGUCCCUUUAAACCAUACCUGGUACAGAGACUUAUCUGGGAGUUCACUUGCCAGUUUUUUCUCUGUUACGGUCUAGACAGAUUAGAUUAGCAUCUAUCAUGUAAACACUUUGGAUUGGGAAAUAACUCUUGUCCUUUCUUAAAGUGUUUUUCCUGCAUGUAAAGCAGUGUGGUUUCUAAAGCCUGUUACAGUCUCACUCAUCAAUACUAUUCACAUUUUGGUAAGUGAUGUGAGUGUUCAUGGGAGGAGAAGGGGCUACAAUGGGCUAUUUGCCUGUUUGAACAGACUUAGGAAUUGAAAACAUGGAUUUUUGACAACUCAGCGCUUUAACAGCCACAAGUGAGCUGUUCUGGUCUAUUGAAGAAAUCCUUCCUACCUCAUGGAUCAGCAACCUAACAGACUUGCAGAACCAAUAUGCUUAAUCCUGCUGCCAAGACUCCACGUUCUGUCCACAUGCUAAAAAUCUUCAUGACAUCUUUUGUUGAGAAAAGGUGCAGCAUAUGAAUAACAGCCAUUUUCUACCCUCAUUGUCUCUACCUCUCCACAAAAUAGGACACACAAGGGCCUUGGCCCCAAAGCUUUCAUGCAUAUUCAGAACAGAAGUAUACAAAAUUCAGUCAACAUUGGCAGAUCUGGGCUCCUGCCUUGGUUUCAAGAAAGAGAUAAGUGUCAGUUGCUUUAUGUCCAAGACUAGAGUUAUUUUGCACCUAUCGUUUCAAGUAAUGUUAAAGGAAAGCCAAAAACUAACAGUGUAGUAACCUGAGGUACAGUCAGUGAUAGUCCUGCAAUACAUGAAUCUUAUACAUGGAAGAGAAUGUGUUAUAUUUUCUUUUUUGUUGUUGCUGUUUUCAAAAGGUAUUGCAUGCCACAAAUCUGCAGCCACUUUGAGCACAUUGAUGUAGACUUAGUGCAUAAACAUCAAACAAAAAUUUAAGUGGGAUGAAUAAGGGAUGAAGCAAUUGCAGUACCCUCUAAGACUUAAUCCAUAGUCACGAUCAAUAGAAAAAUGUUCAGGCAGAGGAGGACUGCAGACAUGACAGCGCAGUCAAUUGCUUGCAGGGUAGGAAGUCCUCAGCCUGCAAGCCUUUGACCAACAAGGUAGGUAAGCACAGUAAACAUUUACCUUGUAUCCAAUUACAAGUUGAAGUGGUGUUUUUCCAGUUUCUUCUGCAGGGUCAUGGGCAUGUGGUGUCCUCAAGAGCUCUGAAACUCUGUAAUUUAAAAAAAAAUGUCCUGAGAAAGGUGACAAGGCAUCAGUGGUUAAAUUAGAAUUAUUUCAGCAUAUAUAGAUUUGUUCAAAA